RNAcentral lists this long non-coding RNA (1095 nucleotides) under Sus scrofa (pig). RNAcentral's name for it is "lncRNA (ENSSSCG00060070013.1)". The record is from RNAcentral. Lineage: Eukaryota; Metazoa; Chordata; Mammalia; Artiodactyla; Suidae.
CUCUGGCUGCAGCAUCACCUGACACGGGGUUCCUGUCUGAUACUGUAUCUAACUCAGCAAUCACUGCACAACUUACCGUCUUGCUACAUACAUUUUGGUGGCGGAUCGUGGUCCGCGCCCGGGCUGAGUUCUGUGUCAGCCGGCUGAGAGGUUGUCAGGAUCCUGGGUCAAGAGUGGUCCAGCAGGGACAGGUCCAUGGUGAGACUGGCUGUACUGCAUCUGGAGCAUCCUUCUGGUGGCAUCAAGGGAGACGCUCGUCCCAGGUGAGUGGGGACAAAGCAGGUUUUAAAAAUAUUUUCCUUCUUUUCCCCCCAUAUUUUCUUUUCACUGACUUUUUUCCACUGAUUUUCAUUAGUCUUCCAGAAUUUGGGUAUUUUAUUUUAUUUUUUAUUUUUUUGGCCACACCUGUAGCAUAUGGAGGUUCCCUGGCUAGGGGUUGAAUUGGAGCUGCAGCUGCCAGCCUACACCACAGGCACAGCAACACCAGCUGCCUCUGUGACCUACACCACAGCUCAAGGCAAUGCCGGAUCCUCAACCCACUGAGCGAGGCCAGGGAUCGAACCUGCAUCCUCAUGGAUACUAGUCAUGUUCUUAACCCGCUGAGCCACAACAGGAGCUCCUAGAAUUUGGGUAAAUAAGCUGCAUGGAGAAAUCUGCUUCGUGGGAGGUUUUGCCUUUUUCUUUCCAUAAAUUUAAUACUUAAGUUUUCACUGCUUUGUGGCCAAGAGGGAGGGUAACCACUCCUGGGGUUCUGAGAGCUCUCUCUCGCUCUCUCUCUUUUUUUUUUAACAGUUUCUCCAAGAAUUUGUCCUUCUGUCCUUCCUCUAUUGCCUCACUUUUCGCAAGGCAGAACAUGUACUGAGAGUGGGUAUAUUUUUUUCGUGAUUGGUUAAGAGGAACUGCUGGUAUUUGAAAUACUCUUUUGACCUUGAUGUGCUGGCUUGGCAGCAAAUUUUAUUGUGUAAGCCGAAGCAGAAACCAGUCCGUGUGAAAAGCUCCGUCCUCUGCCAUACCCAGCACACUGUGGUCUUUCUAAGUGAAAAGCCACUAAUGGCAGUGUAAACAAGAGAUGAGGUGGUUCUUGGGGCAGGGGAC